AUGUCUCUGUUAAAUCUUUUGAAUAUAGACUCAGCCUCUGAGAUGAAGCACCCUGGCAAGAUGUUGGCCAUAAGAGAAGAAAAACUAAUAAAGAAAGAGAUGAGGGCUGACUUACUAAAAAGGAGGAGACUUCUGGGAGGAGUCCCGAGAGACAAGGGUGGAAAUACAGUUUUCUCUGGAGUAUGGCCAGAGAUUUUAUUUUGAAUAUCAUACUGUGCAAACUGUGACUUACAUGUGACAAGCGAAUAGUCAAGACCUAACUUAUAUUAAUGAUUUACUGCUGUCUCAUAAAGUAAAAAAAAAAAUAAAUAAAUAAAAAAAAAAUAAAAAAAAUUGUGUAUAUCUCAAAACAUGUUUAAGUCUUGCAAACAUGUGCAGCAUCCUCCCCAUCCUUGCUUUGUAUUGCUCCUUAUAACAUGUUCCAUACUCCAUCCAGUUUGUCAUUAAAUCAAGAAAAAUGCUCAUUCAGUGUACUGCAUUUAAACCAUCACCAAAGCAGACUUCUGUAAAACAGUCAACUUCUUACCGGAGGCUUGCUAACUGCUAGUUGGCUUUGGAUACUUCUUGAUUUUAUCCAGCCAUCUCAUGUUAUUUCAGAAGCUUAUCAACAGGAACUAGUUUUCACCCAGCUCUCAACUCGUAUGCAUUUCUGAACAGACUUACAUGUUAAAUUUAAAUGUUUCUAAUCUGAUAAUCUCUUCAUCAAACCUUAAUUUGCAAAACCUAGACACAAUAUGUCUGUCUCUGUGAGUUAAUCUUCUGUAUCUCCCUGUUAUCAUCUGUAUUUUCAGUGUAUGUUUUUGCUCUCUAAGGUACAG
RNAcentral lists this long non-coding RNA (818 nucleotides) under Meleagris gallopavo (turkey). RNAcentral's name for it is "lncRNA (ENSMGAG00000018579.1)". Lineage: Eukaryota; Metazoa; Chordata; Aves; Galliformes; Phasianidae. The record is from RNAcentral.